AGAUUCAUAUGUGUGUUCGACCUUGGAAAUACAAGUUGGACAAGAGAUCGAAGCCUGGGCCUGCAUUUAUUUUAUUGUCUCACUAUAAAUAACCCUCAAUCUGUAUUUUCUUCCUCUUGUUUCCUCACAAUCUCAAUUCCUAUCAUCAUCAUCAUCUUCAUUACCAUUCUCGUUCUGUUUUCUCCCUCUGCCAUACCCAGCUCCAGGUGGCACUGGAGAAUGACGGUGAUGAUCAAGGGGGAGAACAUUAGUUGUGAUCAGAUUUUGAGUUUUGUUUAAUCUUGGAUUGUUCUUUGGGGAGAUUCUGAAAAAAAGGGAUUUCUUAGCUAAACCAAAUGAAUGUCGUAGGAAAAGUUGGGAGCUUAAUUGCUGGUGGUGUUUACUCUGUUGCAACACCGUUUCAUCCUUUUGGUGGUGCUGUUGAUGUCAUUGUUGUUCGACAGCAAGAUGGAACUUUUCGAAGUACACCAUGGUAUGUUAGAUUUGGUAAAUUUCAGGGUGUUCUUAAAGGUACUGAGAAGGUUGUUGGUAUAGCAGUCAAUGGGGUUGAUGCCAAUUUUCAUAUGUAUCUUGAUAACUCUGGUGAGGCCUAUUUUAUCAAGGAGAUUGAUGUUGGUAAAGGGAGUGAGCUAAAUGGGGUCGCCAAGAAUGAUCAAGAAUUUAAUGAGGGGAGUAGUAGCAUAAAUGGUGAUAAGAACAACAAGGAAAAUGAACAUGUUAAUAAUAUUCGUAGACUCGAGCAUAGUGUGUCUGAUUCUGCUGUAGUUCAAUUGCAAGAGGAGCGUGAUUCUUUGGGGGAAGAUGGGAGGUUUUAUGAAUUUCAAGAUGAUGAAUCUUCUCUUGAUGAUUCAGAGUAUGGUUCUAGCCGUUUUGAGAGUUUAGAUGGUGACAAAAUUGUUAAAUCCCAGAAUUUAAAUUCAGAAGUUGUAUUGGUAAGUGUGGAUGGUCAUAUAUUAACAGCCCCCAUCACGGCAUUGGAACAGGAUACUGAAAAUGUUCAAUUAAGCACCCCUCAGUUUCAUCUUGGCCCAGGUGAAAGUUCUGAGUUUUGUGAUGUCAACGAUGAGUUCAGUACAGACGAAAAUUCUUGGCUGGAUUAUAUUAGUAAGCUGAAUGCACCUAAACCAAAUGAUACAUCUGAUAAUCUCUCUAUAGUUAACAAUGAGGAAAGUGUUUUUUGUCAGCAGCAGCUGGAAGUACGUGAAGGUGAGGAAGAACAUGCCUUUCUAUCUACUGAAACUCAAAAUUUUAAAAUGGAAGAAAAAAUUAUUUUGGCGCGUAGUGAUCUAGAAGAUGCAUUGCAAGUAAAUGAUUCGGAAUCAUCAGAUGUUUCUGCACAUAUUAAAGAUUUAAGUUCAUCAUCAGAUGCUUAUAUUUCACAGUCUAACCAUACUAUUAUAGUUGCUAAUGACGCUGAAGAGGUUACUGCUGAAUUCAGAAAUGAUGAUGGGUCAUCUCUUUCAUGUAGUUCUUUUCCACUUAACAACGAUACAAGUAUGAAUAUAAAGCUAGAAGAUGAACCAGCUGAUGAUUCUGAAGAUGAAGAGAGUUUAUCUCCUCAUUCUGUUACUAAAAAUUCAGAGUUGAAGGAUGAACAGUCAAUUAUUGGGAUAGACUCUAUUGACAUUACACCAGAGAGACCUACAGACAAAGAGGAACCUCAAACAACUUCUACAGAGAUACAAAUUCAGUCCAGUACAAGGUUCGAGAUCUCGCUCUGUGGGAACAAACUUAAUGCAGGCAUGGGCUUGGAUGCGGCUGCUGAAGCUUUUGAUGCACAUCGCAUUUUGGCAGAGGAUUUUAAAAGUUCUGGCUCAUCAAUUAUUAAGGAUGGAAAUCUGAUCAUUAGAUUUAGAGGGCAGUAUUUUCCAUGGGAAAAAGCUGCUCAUUUAGCUCUUGGAGUAGCUGCAUUUGGUAUGGACUUGCCUAUUGAUCUCAAGGACGCAAUUCCUGUGGAACAGGACAACACACGAAAGGCUGGGAAUGGUUCUGGAUUGACAUCCACUCCCUCUGGACGCAGGUGGCGCCUAUGGCCUAUUCCAUUUAGAAGGGUCAAAACACUUGAGCACACCAACAGUACUUCGUCAAACGAGGAAGAAUUUGUUGAUUCUGAAUCUGUUUUACACAGCUCACAAGCAGAAACGACCCCAAGUACUCCGACAUCCCAAACCUUCCAUGAAUCUCCUCGCAAACAAUUUGUGAGGACAAAUAUUCCCACUAAUGAGCAGAUAGCAUCUUUGAACCUGAAAGAAGGUCAAAAUAUUGUGACAUUUAGUUUCUCUACUCGGGUUCUUGGAAGACAACAGGUUGACGCACACAUUUAUUUAUGGAAGUGGAAUGCACGAAUUGUAAUUUCUGAUGUUGAUGGUACAAUAACAAAGUCAGAUGUUUUAGGUCAAUUCAUGCCUUUGGUUGGGAAAGAUUGGACACAAUCUGGGGUGGCUAAGCUUUUCUCUGCAAUUAAGGAAAAUGGAUACCAGCUACUAUUUCUCAGUGCACGAGCUAUUGUUCAGGCGUAUCUAACUAGAAGCUUUUUACUUAACCUUAAACAGGAUGGAAGCACUCUACCAAAUGGACCUGUUGUGAUCUCACCAGAUGGAUUAUUUCCUUCGUUGUACCGCGAAGUAAUAAGAAGAGCACCUCAUGAAUUCAAGAUUGCAUGUCUAGAGGAUAUUAAGAAGCUGUUCCCUAAUGAUUACAAUCCAUUUUAUGCGGGUUUUGGAAACAGAGACACAGAUGAACUGAGUUACAGGAAGAUUGGGAUUCCAAAAGGGAAAAUAUUUAUUAUCAAUCCUAAGGGUGAGGUAGCCAUUAGUCAUAGGAUUGAUGUGAAGUCAUACACUUCUUUACACACUCUUGUGAAUGACAUGUUUCCUCCAACUUCAUUGAUAGAACAGGAAGACUUCAACUCAUGGAAUUUUUGGAGAGUACCACUGCCAGAAAUUGAUGACUAAAGUCAGUCUCAUAGAGUUGAGUUUAAAGAGUAAUUUGUAAUUUAGUUUGUAUUUAGAGGAGUAUUAUACUUUUGUUUUGAUAUGGAUGGUGAUAAUAGAAUAUGGUUCCUUAUUGGGGUAUGAACUAUGAACUUGGCAGGGUGACAUAGCCAUUAGUCAUAGGAUUGAUGUGAAGCCAUACACUUCUGUACACACUCUAAAUAACAUGUUUCCUCCAACUUCAUUGAUAGAGCAGGAAGACUUAAACUCAUGGAAUUUUUGGAGAGUAGCAUUGCCAGAAAUCGAUGAUUAAAAUAAUAGAGUUGAGAGAGUAGUAUUGUACUUUAGUUUGUCACAAGUGUUCUAGAUCAGUAUUAUAUUGUUGUUUUAUAUGGCCAUUCAAAAUUGCAGCAUAUUCUUUUAGAUAUCUUGUGACAGUACAUCAUGGGUUUCUUCCUCUCUCAAUUUUAAUAUUUCCCAAUUUGUAAUUUCAACAACAGUAAUUUUACGUACAGAAAUAUACAAAAUGUUCUCACUUUA
Molecule: RNA transcript, 3473 nt
Organism: Cannabis sativa
Lineage: Eukaryota; Viridiplantae; Streptophyta; Magnoliopsida; Rosales; Cannabaceae
Gene name: phosphatidate phosphatase PAH1
Exons: 12
Source: RefSeq, a predicted model, not a curated record